RNAcentral lists this ribosomal RNA (515 nucleotides) under uncultured Lactobacillus sp. RNAcentral describes it as "bacterial SSU rRNA". It matches the Rfam family "Bacterial small subunit ribosomal RNA", at positions 56 to 525 of the family's 1533-position model. Lineage: Bacteria; Bacillati; Bacillota; Bacilli; Lactobacillales; Lactobacillaceae. The record is from RNAcentral.
UGCAAGUCGAGCGAGCGGAAACUAACAGAUUUUACUUCGGCAAUGACGUUAGGAAAGCGAGCGGCGGAUGGUGAGUAACACGUGGGGGAACCUGCCCCAUAGUCUGGGGAUACCACUUGGAAACAGGUGCUAAUACCGGAUAAGAAAGCAGAUCGCACGAUCAGCUUUUAAAAGGCGGCGUAAAGCUGUCGCUAUGGGGGAUGGGCCCCGCGGUGCAUUAGCUAGUUGGUAAGGUAAAGGCUUACCAAGGGCGAUGAUGCAUAGCCCGAGUUGAGAGACUGAUCGGCCACAUUGGGGACUGAGACACGGCCCAAACUCCUACGGGAGGCAGCAGUAGGGAAUCUUCCACAAUGGACGCAAGUCUGAUGGAGCAAACGCCGCGUGAGUGAAGAAGGUUUUCGGAUCGUAAAGCUCUGUUGUUGGUGAAGAAGGAUAGAGGUAGUAACUGGCCCUUUAUUUGACGGUAAUCAACCAGAAAGUCACGGGCUAACUACGUGCCAGCAGCCGCGGUAAAU